Molecule: long non-coding RNA, 855 nt
Organism: Pteropus alecto (black flying fox)
Lineage: Eukaryota; Metazoa; Chordata; Mammalia; Chiroptera; Pteropodidae
Exons: 3
Source: RefSeq, a predicted model, not a curated record
CCAUGAAAUGGGUGUGGGUGAGGGGACGUGGGUGGGUAUAAGGGGCAACGCAGUUGUCCCAUGGUCCUCUCCCUGCAGCAGAAGAAGAGGGUAAAGGAAGGGGGAGGAAGAAAAGCCAGAAUGACUCAUUCCCGAAAGGAAGUGCUCAAGCCAUAGGCAAGCAUGCCACAGGGAGAUUCGGGCGAGGAUUGUGAGAGCUAGGUGCACAGAGUGAUGGGGGCAAAAAUCAACGUCCGGCAGCUCGUCUCUAAGAUGGGGAGUGUGGGGGGUUCGCGGCAGCCGAGUGCCAAGGCCUGGGAAGCGGCGCGGCGCGUGCGCACUGGCGCUCGGCGGGACCCGCUGAGGCAAAGCCGAGCCGCAGUGACAGAAGCGAGCGGAGCGGCCGCCAAGAGGGACUCACCGAGGCACAGGGGCUGGAGGUGGUGCUGGGGUUUCUUCAUCUCUACAAUGGAGCCCUAACUAAGGAUUCUUGCAAUCAAAUGAGAUAAUGCAUGAUACAGUGCAGGAUAAACUGUAAAGCCUUGUAUAUUCAAUCAACAUAAUGCCAUCAAUGUACCAGACCAACUCAAUGUUGAGUGGAAGAUCAAGAUGCUCAGUAUCUCUGGACCAUGACGAAGAGCAAGAGAAUUGAUGGAACCCUGGGACAAGACUGUGAAGUUAUGUUGUUGGCCCUGCUGAGUAAAAGCAACUUGCUUCUGGUGUUUCUUGACAAUUUGUAUGGAGAAAUAAACAUUCGUUAGGUCAAUAAUUGCAUACUUGGUUGCAAGGGCUAUGUUGUUUUGCUCUAGUAAAGAUACUACAUAUGGAAGAACAGCUGUAAUUGGAGGUAUCACCUGAUUAAAUUUGUAAUAAUCA